AACACGGAGAGGAAAACACAGUAUGCUGAACUGUCCCCUCCUUCAGUCACUGCAGAGGAACAAUGGUGAGAAUAAGAAGAUUCCCAUGGAAGAUUCCCACAGCGGCUGAGAAACCACAAGCCAAAGUUCACGCCUAAUUCCCGAGGCAACCUUGAGUGUGCUGCUCAUAGGGACCAACAGAGCCAUCCAUCUCCAGACAGACAGGCUGGCGGAAGACCCCUCUGACCAGAACAUGUGACCCCUAUAGCCCCACCUAUAUAUCACCCAUGGCCCAUCCAUCACGGCGUCCGUGGUGCCUCUGGGGUGGAGGGAGAGGGACCGAACGUUUUGCAUCGUUUCCUGUGGGAGUUAUGAAGUGAGGAGCGAUGCGUGACAUAAAGACAUGCUGCAGUAGCCCCUUCCACUCUGUCGUGAUUUAAUAUGUUGAUAGUGAUACUGCUACUUCAUUUUCUGAACUUAAAUGUCUGAAAAAAAGGGGUUCACACAGGCUGAUGUGAUGAUAUGAGACCCCCUAAUCCUAAUCCUCUCAUAACAAUAACCAACUAGGAGGAAACCUUGAGAAGCAACACAGAAAAGGGAUGCCUUCACCCAGGGACGACUAGGGAACCAUAGCUGCCGAAUGGACAGACAUAUCGGUGUCGGAAUUGUAAUACCACGUUUAACGUUUUGUAAAGUUCCACAUGGUCAAGUUAUUCACCGGGCAAAGUUCGGGCAUCACCUUAAAUAUAAAUCAUUAACGUGAAUCAGUUGCAAAGAGUGAGCAGUGAAAGGCUGAAAGCUUUUUUGUAAAAGACGUGGAAUAUUCCACGCGGUAGGUUAAGAGCCAAUUGCCCAUGAAAGGCAUCCAGAAGUGCUCACACAGACACAAAACAAAAAAUAAAGGUGGCUGUGUACAUUCUCCUGACUGUGUGGGUAUUGAUCAUGCGGUCAUUUGUUCUAAACACCGAGGAGUGGUGGUAGGUUCAUCCGAGCGUGUUUGGAGGGUCAACAUUCCAGAGAUAAGGCACUUAAUGUAACCUUUAUUCGUACCGCGCAAGGUUCACAACACAGGAAGUUAUGUAAUAGCCUUUAGUUGCCCAGAGAUAUCUGUUGUACAUUGGACCUAUAGUAUUGAGAUGCAGACUAGGCACGCUAUGCAUUGCAUAACUAAAAAGGGAAACACUAUAAAAACUUCAAAGCUAAUCCAAAUCAUUAAAGAUACGAGUAAUCACAGCAAACCGAUUUCGCAUUACACUUGCAUUGUAAACCUUGAAAAAAUACACAUAAACAUUUUGAUAUAUAUCAUAUUCAUUCAAAUUUCAUAGAACAUUUUAUUCUUCAAUGACACUCAUCUCCUACAUAUCCCUCCUUGGUAUGUCAUGCAUAAUAGAUACCAUGGGAGAUUUACCUGUGCUAACCCCGCAUAUUAAAUUAUUCAGUUAACCAGACGUUGCAACGAGCCAGGGACAAAUGUGUCCCUUUCAUGCACCGGCGCACAAUGUAUCACCAGUCACCCAUGGCGCUCAAACCGUCCCGGGUACCAACCUGCACUCCAGGAGCACCAAGAAAAAACACAAUGUGCCCGACACAGACUGCGCCACCUGUGCUAAUUCGUUAGCUUAGCAUGUUAGCCGCAGAGUGAAA
This is a long non-coding RNA of Gadus morhua (Atlantic cod), 1623 nucleotides long. RefSeq lists it as uncharacterized. The record is from RefSeq and is a predicted model, not a curated record. Lineage: Eukaryota; Metazoa; Chordata; Actinopteri; Gadiformes; Gadidae. The transcript has 2 exons.